RNAcentral lists this ribosomal RNA (497 nucleotides) under uncultured bacterium. Its description in RNAcentral is "partial 16S ribosomal RNA". It matches the Rfam family "Bacterial small subunit ribosomal RNA", at positions 28 to 507 of the family's 1533-position model. The record is from RNAcentral.
GAUGAACGCUGGCGGCGUGCCUAAUACAUGCAAGUCGAGCGAACGGACGAGAAGCUUGCUUCUCUGAUGUUAGCGGCGGACGGGUGAGUAACACGUGGAUAACCUACCUAUAAGACUGGGAUAACUUCGGGAAACCGGAGCUAAUACCGGAUAAUAUUUUGAACCGCAUGGUUCAAAAGUGAAAGACGGUCUUGCUGUCACUUAUAGAUGGAUCCGCGCUGCAUUAGCUAGUUGGUAAGGUAACGGCUUACCAAGGCAACGAUGCAUAGCCGGCCUGAGAGGGUGAUCGGCCACACUGGAACUGAGACACGGUCCAGACUCCUACGGGAGGCAGCAGUAGGGAAUCUUCCGCAAUGGGCGAAAGCCUGACGGAGCAACGCCGCGUGAGUGAUGAAGGUCCUCGGAUCGUAAAACUCUGUUAUUAGGGAAGAACAUAUGUGUAAGUAACUGUGCACAUCUUGACGGUACCUAAUCAGAAAGCCACGGCUAACUACGUG